This 447-nucleotide ribosomal RNA is filed under the name uncultured bacterium. RNAcentral describes it as "partial 16S ribosomal RNA". It matches the Rfam family "Bacterial small subunit ribosomal RNA", at positions 29 to 523 of the family's 1533-position model. The record is from RNAcentral.
AACGAACGCUGGCGGCAGGCUUAACACAUGCAAGUCGAGCGCGUAGCAAUACGAGCGGCAGACGGGUGAGUAACGCGUGGGAACGUACCCUUUUCUACGGAAUAACCCAGGGAAACUUGGACUAAUACCGUAUACGCCCUUCGGGGGAAAGAUUUAUCGGGGAAGGAUCGGCCCGAGUUGGAUUAGCUAGUUGGUGGGGUAAAGGCCUACCAAGGCGACGAUCCAUAGCUGGUCUGAGAGGAUGAUCAGCCACAUUGGGACUGAGACACGGCCCAAACUCCUACGGGAGGCAGCAGUGGGGAAUAUUGGACAAUGGGCGCAAGCCUGAUCCAGCCAUGCCGCGUGAGUGAUGAAGGCCUUAGGGUUGUAAAGCUCUUUCACCGGGGAAGAUAAUGACGGUACCCGGAGAAGAAGCCCCGGCUAACUUCGUGCCAGCAGCCGCAGUAA